GUUUGAUCAUGGCUCAGAACGAACGUUGGCGGCGUGGAUGAGGCAUGCAAGUCGCACGUGAAAGUCGCAAGACGAGUAAAGUGGCGGACGGGCGAGUAUUACGUAUUCAAGCUACCCUGGAGACGGGGAUAACCACGGGAAACCGUGGCUAAUACCCGAUGGUCCUGCUGGAUCGCAUGGUCUGGCAGGUAAAUGGAGGGGAUCCUACGGGACCUUCUGCUCUGGGAGGUGAUUACGGCCCAUCAGUUAGUUGGCGGGGUAACGGCCCACCAAGACGAUGACGGGUAGCCGGCCUGAGAGGGUGGUCGGCCGCACUGGGACUGAGACACUGCCCAGACUCCUACGGGAGGCUGCAGUCGAGAAUCUUCCGCAAUGGGCGCAAGCCUGACGGAGCGACGCCGCGUGGAGGACGAAGGCCUUCGGGUUGUAAACUCCUGUCACGGGUUAUGAAUGGCGCAGCGUGAACAAUGCUGCGAUUGACGUAAGCCCGAGAGGAAGCACUGGCUAACUCUGUGCCAGCAGCCGCGGUAAUACAGAGAGUGCAAACGUUGUUCGGAAUCACUGGGCAUAAAGCGCACGUAGGCGGCGCCACAAGUGCGGGGUGAAAUCCCACGGCUUACCCGUGGAACUGCCUGGUAGACUGUGGUGCUAGAGGAUGGUAGGGAUGAGCGGAACUCCUGGUGGAGCGGUGAAAUGCGUAGAGAUCAGGAGGAACACCGGUGGCGAAGGCGGCUCAUUGGUCCAUUACUGACGCUGAGGUGCGAAAGCUAGGGGAGCAAACGGGAUUAGAUACCCCGGUAGUCCUAGCUGUAAACGAUGGGUACUAGCUUGGGGUUUCCUUAUGUGAUCCCAGGUGAAGCAAAUGUGAUAAGUACCCCGC
This 880-nucleotide ribosomal RNA is filed under the name uncultured bacterium. RNAcentral describes it as "bacterial SSU rRNA". It matches the Rfam family "Bacterial small subunit ribosomal RNA", at positions 11 to 872 of the family's 1533-position model. The record is from RNAcentral.